RNAcentral lists this ribosomal RNA (253 nucleotides) under uncultured bacterium. RNAcentral describes it as "partial 16S ribosomal RNA". It matches the Rfam family "Bacterial small subunit ribosomal RNA", at positions 524 to 776 of the family's 1533-position model. The record is from RNAcentral.
UACGAAGGGCGCAAACGUUGCUCGGAAUUAUUGGGCGUAAAGCGCACGUAGGCGGCUUUACAAGUCGGAUGUGAAAUCCCUCGGCUUAACCAAGGAAGUGCAUCCGAAACUGCAGAGCUUGAGUACUUAAGAGGAUCGCGGAAUUCCCGGUGUAGAGGUGAAAUUCGUAGAUAUCGGGAGGAACACCAGUGGCGAAGGCGGCGAUCUGGGAAGAUACUGACGCUGAGGUGCGAAAGCGUGGGGAGCAAACAGG